This is a non-coding RNA of Ictidomys tridecemlineatus (thirteen-lined ground squirrel), 1939 nucleotides long. NCBI's taxonomy places the organism in Eukaryota, Metazoa, Chordata, Mammalia, Rodentia, Sciuridae. The record is from RefSeq and is a predicted model, not a curated record.
CCUGACGUCCAACAUGGCCACAGCACUGGCUCCAGCCAAUUACUGCAGAAAUUCAAGAACCCAUGUGCGGGUCGCUGCCGUCUCCUCGGCCCUGGCCGCUGGAAGUGAGAGGCCGCACCAUCAUCAGGGCGGAGGGAAAGGAUACGUCAGAGAAAUCCUGGAGGCUUAUUGGAGUCGGAUCUCGGAGUGGGGAAGGAAGUUCAGGGGAAGAAACAGAAGGCUCCAGUUCAAGGCCUUACCCCCUACGGCCCUGCUGCAGGUCCCUCUUUGGAGAGGGGGCUUAAUGACAUCUGCCCCACAAACUCACAGAGUUGGCUUGCAAAGCCAGGGAGGUGGCGCCCAGGACAGUGCCUGGAGAGGCAUCAGACAGAGGUCUUUGGGAAUGCUGCACCGUUUUCAACAAGGGGCGUGAGCAUCUGCAGACUUGGGUGUCCACAGGGUCCUGGAGCCGAAGCCCUGCAGACACGGACGGCCCACGUGUAAUUCCUAGUGACAGAUAAGGACGUUGGCCCAGAGACGGGGAGAGUCAGCGGUAUUCAACUACCACACGAUACUUGGCAGCCGGUUUCAACAACUUCCGGAUGAAUGGAUGGACCACGGCCACCCCUCCAGGGAGCCGGCCACCGUGCCCCCCUGUGCGGACCUGCAUCGCUGCAGACAUGGCCAGUGGAUCCCCGCAUGCUCUCUGCCUCCCAGGCAGCCGCCUAGGAUCCCCAGGAGCUCAGAAGGAGGGAGGGAAUUUGGUUCAACUUCCCUGUUCCGUUGACCUGGAGGCCAGGGAAAGGCUGUGGGAGUCCGUGUGGAGCAGCUGGUCCACUCUGACCGCCUGCUCCGUCCGCCUGCCCAGAAGCUCCCGAGAAGGCCUCGUCCAGCUGGGCGGGCAGGGGCUGCCAGCGAAGGGCACAGCUGGGCCUCUGGCACGGGCUCCUCCCAGUGUCCCCUGCCUGCGCAAAGCCACAACGGGCACGCUGGCGAGAUCCCUGCUGCUCCUGCCCGCCCGCUCCGCACAGCUGCUCUUUUGAAAGCCCUGCAUGGGAAGCGGUUGAUGCGGCUCUCUGUUCCCUUUACAGACCAUUGUCCCCUCCUCGGCGCCAGCCUGCUCUUCCCUGGGUUGCUUAAUUAGCAGCAUUAUUAAUGCCCAGAGGAAAGUCACCAGAUCCUCUCUCACGGCAGCCCAGCUCGCAGGACAGCCACAGGCAGCCAGGAAGCCGGGUCCUGUGCCAGGAGGGCCCUCCCCAGCCCUGGGACCUUUCUUUGCCAAUACCCAGCUGGGGACCGCUUGGCCUGCCUCCCUGGGGCAACCACAAGGCCCCUGUGGGGGACAGGCAGGGAGGGGGACUUGUCGGGAGCCUGUCUGAGUCCCCCCAGGGGUGAUCAGCCCUCCUCUGAGCAAUGGGUGCAAGUUAAGUUUGGGGGGAGAGAGGUCAGGGCCCCAGCUGUGGGAUGAGCUCAGAGGGAACAGUCAAGUCCUCACCACUCCCAGGAGCAAGAGUAAAGGGAAAUGUGUCCAGGAGCUGUGUGACCUUGGGCCCACCUAACACCCUCUCUGUGCUGAGUUCCUUCUGUGUGUUCCAUGGACCUGGUCCUGGGCUAAGCCCUUCAUGUGCACAGACCCACCCUAUCUCCUUCUUCUAGAGACAGGUCCCCUGCUGCACUCCAGCAGCCUAAAACUUAGUGCCUUGAAUCACCCAUGAGGUUUCCCCUUGACUCCCUGCAGUGACCAAGAAGGUGGCUCCAAUAGGUGGAGGAGCAACCUGGGAAAAAUAGCUGGGGGUGGGAUAAAACCGCUCUUUCACAUGGUGACAAGCCGGGAGCCCCGCUGACCUCGCCCGAGGGUGGGGAUCCUCCGUUCCCUGUCCAGGGCCUGCUUGGUGGCCUGGGUAAAGGACGAGCAACCCGGGGGAACCAGGGACCAACGUGUGGCCCUUCUGUGACCUCA